GGCUCUGUAGCUCAGUUGGUAGAGCAGAGGACUGAAAAUCCUUGUGUCGGCGGUUCAAUUCCGUCCAGAGCCAC
Molecule: transfer RNA, 74 nt
Filed under: Fidelibacterota bacterium
Lineage: Bacteria; Pseudomonadati; Fidelibacterota
Description: Candidatus Marinimicrobia bacterium tRNA-Phe
Rfam family: tRNA
About the family: Transfer RNA (tRNA) molecules are approximately 80 nucleotides in length. Their secondary structure includes four short double-helical elements and three loops (D, anti-codon, and T loops).
Source: RNAcentral